UGAGGAAUAUUGGACAAUGGGCGCAAGCCUGAUCCAGCCAUGCCGCGUGCAGGAAGACGCAUCUAUGGUGUGUAAACUGCUUUUGUACGGGAAGAAACACUCCCUCGUGAGGGAGCUUGACGGUACCGUAAGAAUAAGGAUCGGCUAACUCCGUGCCAGCAGCCGCGGUAAUACGGAGGAUCCAAGCGUUAUCCGGAAUCAUUGGGUUUAAAGGGUCCGUAGGCGGUUUGGUAAGUCAGUGGUGAAAGCCCAUCGCUUAACGAUGGAACGGCCAUUGAUACUGCCAGACUUGAAUUACUAGGAAGUAACUAGAAUAUGUAGUGUAGCGGUGAAAUGCUUAGAUAUUACAUGGAAUACCAAUUGCGAAGGCAGGUUACUACUAGUGGAUUGACGCUGAUGGACGAAAGCGUGGGGAGCGAACAGG
This 424-nucleotide ribosomal RNA is filed under the name uncultured Flavobacterium sp. RNAcentral's name for it is "bacterial SSU rRNA". It matches the Rfam family "Bacterial small subunit ribosomal RNA", at positions 355 to 776 of the family's 1533-position model. Lineage: Bacteria; Pseudomonadati; Bacteroidota; Flavobacteriia; Flavobacteriales; Flavobacteriaceae. The record is from RNAcentral.